CCGGGAGGGGCCAGCGAGACUUGUANCGUUGGCANCCGCUUCUUUUCCCACCGGGAGCUUGCUCCACUCGGGAAAAGAGGAGUGGCGAACGGGUGAGUAACACGUGGGUAACCUGCCCAUCAGAAGGGGAUAACACUUGGAAACAGGUGCUAAUACCGUAUAACAAUCGAAACCGCAUGGUUUCGUUUUGAAAGGCGCUUUACGGUGCCGCUGAUGGAUGGACCCGCGGUGCAUUAGCUAGUUGGUGAGGUAACGGCUCACCAAGGCCACGAUGCAUAGCCGACCUGAGAGGGUGAUCGGCCACAUUGGGACUGAGACACGGCCCAAACUCCUACGGGAGGCAGCAGUAGGGAAUCUUCGGCAAUGGACGAAAGUCUGACCGAGCAACGCCGCGUGAGUGAAGAAGGUUUUCGGAUCGUAAAACUCUGUUGUUAGAAGAAGAACAAGGGUGAGAGUAACUGUUCACCCCUUGACGGUAUCUAACCAGAAAGCCACGGCUAACUACGUGCCAGCAGCCGCGGUAAUACGUAGGUGGCAAGCGUUGUCCGGAUUUAUUGGGCGUAAAGCGAGCGCAGGCGGUUUCUUAAGUCUGAUGUGAAAGCCCCCGGCUCAACCGGGGAGGGUCAUUGGAAACUGGGAGACUUGAGUGCAGAAGAGGAGAGUGGAAUUCCAUGUG
Molecule: ribosomal RNA, 676 nt
Filed under: Enterococcus mundtii
Lineage: Bacteria; Bacillati; Bacillota; Bacilli; Lactobacillales; Enterococcaceae
Description: bacterial SSU rRNA
Rfam family: Bacterial small subunit ribosomal RNA
Source: RNAcentral